Molecule: ribosomal RNA, 440 nt
Filed under: uncultured bacterium
Lineage: Bacteria
Description: partial 16S ribosomal RNA
Rfam family: Bacterial small subunit ribosomal RNA
Source: RNAcentral
CCUACGGGAGGCAGCAGUGGGGAAUAUUGGACAAUGGGGGGAACCCUGAUGCAGCGACGCCGCGUGAGUGAAGAAGUAUUUCGGUAUGUAAAGCUCUAUCAGCAGGGAAGAAAAUGACGGUACCUGACUAAGAAGCCCCGGCUAACUACGUGCCAGCAGCCGCGGUAAUACGUAGGGGGCAAGCGUUAUCCGGAUUUACUGGGUGUAAAGGGAGCGUAGACGGUGCAGCAAGUCUGAGGUGAAAGGUCGGGGCUUAACCCCGGGACUGCAUUGGAAACUGUUGAACUGGAGUACAGGAGAGGUAAGCGGAAGUCCUAGCGUAGCGGUGAAAUGGGGAGAUAGUAGGAGGAACACCAGUGGCGAAGGGGGCUUACUGGACUGUAACUGACGUUGAGGCUCGAAAGCGUGGGGAGCAAACAGGAGUAGAGACCCUUGUAGUC